CCCCCCUCAGGCCCGCUCCUUUGCCGGAGCGGGUUUGGAUUUGGAUGCCUGUGGCUUAAAAAGAGGCCGCUCGUCUUUAAAUGCAUUAGCUGGCCCCUCGGUCCAAAACGACGGUGUGAUAACAAACGCUUAGUGCGCCGUUCGUCGCCGGGCCCUGGGGGGUCGCUGAUAGUAAGGGCCCCUCCCUUUUUGUU
RNAcentral lists this unclassified non-coding RNA (194 nucleotides) under uncultured Gomphales. RNAcentral's name for it is "sequence contains ITS2". The record is from RNAcentral. Lineage: Eukaryota; Fungi; Basidiomycota; Agaricomycetes.